This 270-nucleotide long non-coding RNA is filed under the name Linum usitatissimum (flax). RNAcentral describes it as "long non-coding RNA (LUSI_LNC006173)". Lineage: Eukaryota; Viridiplantae; Streptophyta; Magnoliopsida; Malpighiales; Linaceae. The record is from RNAcentral.
UGAGUUGUGCUAAUAGCUAUAACCCCUCGAACCACCUGACGUGGUUCAUUUAAAUUUACUGCUUUCAUAGUUAGGUUUAAUUUCAGUUUUCAGUCAAUCAAAUUCUUCCUCUCUUCCUCACUCUCUCUGCGACUGCGAUUACCUUGCAACAACUGUGAGCUUUCUGUUACCUGCGACAACUGUCAAAGAUGGCACUUUCUGCAAUUGGAUUUGAAGGAUAUGAGAAGAGGCUAGAAAUAGCUUUCUUCGAGCCGGGUAUCUUUGCUGAUC